This 261-nucleotide ribosomal RNA is filed under the name uncultured bacterium. RNAcentral describes it as "partial 16S ribosomal RNA". It matches the Rfam family "Bacterial small subunit ribosomal RNA", at positions 793 to 1055 of the family's 1533-position model. The record is from RNAcentral.
GUCCACGCCAUAAACGAUGGAUAUUAGAUGUCGGGAGCACUUGUUCUCUCGGUGUCGUAGCUAACGCGUUAAAUAUCCCGCCUGGGGAGUACGGCCGCAAGGUUAAAACUCAAAGAAAUUGACGGGGGCCCGCACAAGUGGUGGAGGAUGUUGUUUAAUUCGAUGCAACGCGAAAACCUUACCUAGGCUUGACAUCCCACGCUAUCCUGUGAAAGCAGGAGUUCCUUCGGGACGUGGAGACAGGUGUUGCAUGGCUGUCGU